RNAcentral lists this ribosomal RNA (428 nucleotides) under uncultured bacterium. RNAcentral's name for it is "bacterial SSU rRNA". It matches the Rfam family "Bacterial small subunit ribosomal RNA", at positions 354 to 796 of the family's 1533-position model. The record is from RNAcentral.
AUUAGGAAUCUUGCGCAAUGGGCGAAAGCCUGACGCAGCGACGCCGCGUGGGGGAGGAAGUCCUUCGGGAUGUAAACCCCUUUUUGGAGGGAAGAAGCACUGACGGUACCUCCGGAAUAAGCCCCGGCUAACUACGUGCCAGCAGCCGCGGUAAUACGUAGGGGGCGAGCGUUGUCCGAAGUUACUGGGCGUAAAGCGCGCGUAGGCGGGCGAUUAAGUCGGAAGUGAAAGGCUGGGGCUCAACCCCAUGCAGUGCUUCCGAUACUGAUUGUCUUGAGGGCGGCAGGGAGAAGUGGAAUGGCUGGUGUAGCGGUGAAAUGCGUAGAUAUCAGUCGGAACACCGGUGGCGAAGGCGGCUUCUUGGGCCGUACCUGACGCUGAGGCGCGAAAGCCAGGGGAGCGAACGGGAUUAGAUACCCGAGUAGUCC